Molecule: long non-coding RNA, 800 nt
Organism: Halichondria panicea
Lineage: Eukaryota; Metazoa; Porifera; Demospongiae; Suberitida; Halichondriidae
Exons: 3
Source: RefSeq, a predicted model, not a curated record
CUUCGCAGUAAAUGGGGUGGAGCUGUUUCUUUGCAGCAGUAGAGGGGUGGGGCUGUUUUGCAGCACCAGAAGUGGGGUGGGGCUGUUUUGCAGUAGUUUCAGCGUUGGAACUCCAACAAUUUUGUGUCAAGCCAUUCGUCGGUCAUGCCAAUCUUAUACGCUGCAUAUACUGGCGUGUAGGAGAGAGAAGAGAUGGAGCUGUGUCUAGAGUUGUCUCUGUCUUUUUUUGUGCAGUUUAUAUUGUGUUACUAGGACAGUGUUAUGUUGCUAUGCCCUAGGGAUAUAAACUAGUUAUUACACGUGCACUCGGGAUGCAUGGAAUAUAUUGCACUCAGCCCUCGGGGCUUACGCCCUCGUGCUUCAGUGCAAUAUAUUCCAUACAUCCCUGGUGCCCGUGUUAUAACUAUAACAUACCGUCACAAUGCUGUUUGAAGCAUUUGCUGGAAACAAUACCCAUAUUAGUGCUCCAGUGCAACUUUCAGAAACAAUCACAUGUACAAGAGCAGCAGGAACAGGUACAGUGUCCCCAACAAGAAAGUCUGAUACAAGUGACGGUCUUCUUGUGAUCAUAGGGGUCCUUGUUGCUAUAAUAGCUCUCCUGGUUGCGGUGGUUGCAGUAGUUGUCAUUGUUGUGGCUUGUAUUCUGAGAGCAAAACGAGUUGUCUAUGGUGAAGAAAAUGGUACAACUCAACAAAUUGAUCAAAGUCAUAUCACAGUGGCAUUUCAACAAAAUGAAGCAUAUAAUGUUGUCACAAAGAGACCGACAAUAGCUGAAGCUGAUAGUGACUAUGAACAAGUAG